CGUUCGUAGUUGAAUUUGUGCUUCAUACGGGUAGUACAACUACAAUUGUGGAUUGUACAUUACCUUAUGUAUGCAAGCGUAUUAUCGGUGGAGUUCUAAUAUAUGAUGGUACUUGUACUGUUAUAUAUACCUCCUAUUAAAACCUGCUUCAGUGCUCUUCAUCGAGUGCUGUUGUGGGCCGUUACAAUUACUUUGAACAAAUUAGAGUGCUUAAAGCAGGCUCCAAAUGCCUGAAUAUUUUGUGCAUGGAAUAAUGAAAUAAGACUUCUGAUCUACUUUCAUUGGUUUUUAGAUCAAGAGGUAAUGAUUAAUAGAAGCAGUUUGGGGGCAUUAGUAUUACGACGCGAGAGGU
RNAcentral lists this ribosomal RNA (352 nucleotides) under Episyrphus meliscaevoides. RNAcentral describes it as "SSU rRNA". It matches the Rfam family "Eukaryotic small subunit ribosomal RNA", at positions 625 to 912 of the family's 1831-position model. The record is from RNAcentral. Lineage: Eukaryota; Metazoa; Arthropoda; Insecta; Diptera; Syrphidae.